Molecule: long non-coding RNA, 681 nt
Filed under: Rattus norvegicus (Norway rat)
Lineage: Eukaryota; Metazoa; Chordata; Mammalia; Rodentia; Muridae
Description: long non-coding RNA NONRATT022038
Source: RNAcentral
GCAGAGACAAGAAGCAGACUAAAGUUUGAGGGUGCAGCCAUCUUUCAAUUCCCUUGAGUUCUCAAAACAAAAUAAGGAGAGGGGAACCAGAUGUAAGCUCUGGUAACUCAAUGGAUUGGGCUUAUAAAAAUGGAAUACCCUAUUCAUUUGCUUUUGAACUUCGAGACACUGGGUAUUUUGGAUUUUUACUGCCAGAGAUGCUCAUUAAACCCACCUGCACAGAGACCAUGCUUGCUGUGAAGAAUAUCACAAUGCACCUGCUAAAGAACUGUCCUUGAGAGGAGCUUGCAUCUAGCCUACCAAUCCAGAGAAAGCAAAUCCUGACCACAAGCUCCCUGGCAAAUGUAACUGCUGAGACUGGAAGGAUCCAUGGACCGUAAAGAAUCUUUCAUGCAAUUCAACACUUUGCAACAACAGCAAAGUAGGGCACAGCCUACUUUGGUAUGAGAAGAAAAAUCACUUUAUAUCCCUUUAGAGUCUUAUUUGAUUACAAGGGGGAGGGAAUGUUUUCAAAUUCCUUUGUCUCAAAAAGUGUACAAACUAAUUGAGGAUUUCCCUCCUCUCAACUGCUAUGUCCUCGAUUAAGACCUACACGACCAACAACAUUUAAUUACUUGGUUCUUAUUUGAAGUGGAAACAAUCAACUGUAUUUCUUAAUAAAUAUAUAAUUUUUCAAAGACU